GCCUCGUUGGCGCAGUAGGCAGCGCGUCAGUCUCAUAAUCUGAAGGUCGUGAGUUCAACCCUCACACGGGCAUGUGCC
Non-coding RNA from Hippoglossus stenolepis (Pacific halibut), 78 nucleotides. The record is from the annotation of a RefSeq genome assembly. Lineage: Eukaryota; Metazoa; Chordata; Actinopteri; Pleuronectiformes; Pleuronectidae.